CAGCCGUAAACUAUGCUCGCUAGGUGUCAGGGACGGUGCGACCGUUUCUGGUGCCGCAGGGAAGCCGUGAAGCGAGCCACCUGGGAAGUACGGUCGCAAGGCUGAAACUUAAAGGAAUUGGCGGGGGAGCACAACAACGGGUGGAGCUUGCGGUUUAAUUGGAUUCAACGCCGGAAAUCUUACCGGGACCGACAGCAACAUGAAGGCCAAGCUGAAGACUUUGCCGGAUUAGCUGAGAGGUGGUGCAUGGCGUAGUCGUGU
Molecule: ribosomal RNA, 261 nt
Filed under: uncultured archaeon
Lineage: Archaea
Description: partial 16S ribosomal RNA
Rfam family: Archaeal small subunit ribosomal RNA
Source: RNAcentral